This 254-nucleotide ribosomal RNA is filed under the name uncultured prokaryote. RNAcentral describes it as "partial 16S ribosomal RNA". It matches the Rfam family "Bacterial small subunit ribosomal RNA", at positions 524 to 776 of the family's 1533-position model. The record is from RNAcentral.
CACGUAGGGCGCAAGCGUUGUCCGGAAUUAUUGGGCGUAAAGAGCUCGUAGGCGGACUGUUGCGUCUGCUGUGAAAAGCUGGGGCUUAACCCUGGCCUUGCAGUGGAUACGGGCAGACUAGAGGUAGGUAGGGGAGAAUGGAAUUCCCGGUGUAGCGGUGAAAUGCGCAGAUAUCGGGAGGAACACCGGUGGCGAAGGCGGCAUCCUGGACCAAUUCUGACGCUGAGUGAGCGAAAGCCAGGGGAGCAAACGGG